RNAcentral lists this ribosomal RNA (1202 nucleotides) under metagenome. RNAcentral describes it as "bacterial SSU rRNA". It matches the Rfam family "Bacterial small subunit ribosomal RNA", at positions 8 to 1201 of the family's 1533-position model. The record is from RNAcentral.
AGAGUUUGAUCAUGGCUCAGGAUGAACGCUAGCUACAGGCUUAACACAUGCAAGUCGAGGGGAAACGGUAUUGGAAGCUUGCUUCCGAUAGGCGUCGACCGGCGCACGGGUGAGUAACGCGUAUCCAACCUGCCCACCACUUGGGGAUAACCUUGCGAAAGUAAGACUAAUACCCAAUGAUAUCUCUAGAAGACAUCUGAAAGAGAUUAAAGAUUUAUCGGUGAUGGAUGGGGAUGCGUCUGAUUAGCUUGUUGGCGGGGUAACGGCCCACCAAGGCAACGAUCAGUAGGGGUUCUGAGAGGAAGGUCCCCCACAUUGGAACUGAGACACGGUCCAAACUCCUACGGGAGGCAGCAGUGAGGAAUAUUGGUCAAUGGACGAGAGUCUGAACCAGCCAAGUAGCGUGCAGGAAGACGGCCCUAUGGGUUGUAAACUGCUUUUAUAAGGGAAUAAAGUGAGAGUCGUGACUCUUUUUGCAUGUACCUUAUGAAUAAGGACCGGCUAAUUCCGUGCCAGCAGCCGCGGUAAUACGGAAGGUCCGGGCGUUAUCCGGAUUUAUUGGGUUUAAAGGGAGCGUAGGCCGGAGAUUAAGCGUGUUGUGAAAUGUAGACGCUCAACGUCUGCACUGCAGCGCGAACUGGUUUCCUUGAGUACGCACAAAGUGGGCGGAAUUCGUGGUGUAGCGGUGAAAUGCUUAGAUAUCACGAAGAACUCCGAUUGCGAAGGCAGCUCACUGGAGCGCAACUGACGCUGAAGCUCGAAAGUGCGGGUAUCGAACAGGAUUAGAUACCCUGGUAGUCCGCACGGUAAACGAUGGAUGCCCGCUGUUGGUCUGAAUAGGUCAGCGGCCAAGCGAAAGCAUUAAGCAUCCCACCUGGGGAGUACGCCGGCAACGGUGAAACUCAAAGGAAUUGACGGGGGCCCGCACAAGCGGAGGAACAUGUGGUUUAAUUCGAUGAUACGCGAGGAACCUUACCCGGGCUUGAAUUGCAGAGGAAGGAUUUGGAGACAAUGACGCCCUUCGGGGCCUCUGUGAAGGUGCUGCAUGGUUGUCGUCAGCUCGUGCCGUGAGGUGUCGGCUUAAGUGCCAUAACGAGCGCAACCCCUCUCCUUAGUUGCCAUCAGGUUAAGCUGGGCACUCUGGGGACACUGCCACCGUAAGGUGUGAGGAAGGUGGGGAUGACGUCAAAUCAGCACGGCCC